UGACCUCAAAUCAGGUAGGACUACCCGCUGAACUUAAGCAUAUCAAUAAGCGGAGGAAAAGAAACUAACAAGGAUUCCCCUAGUAACUGCGAGUGAAGCGGGAAAAGCUCAAAUUUUGAAUCUGGCGGUCUUCACAGGCCGUCCGAGUUGUAAUCUAGAGAAGCGUCUUCCGCGCUGGACCGUGUACAAGUCUCCUGA
Molecule: ribosomal RNA, 198 nt
Filed under: Boletus pinophilus
Lineage: Eukaryota; Fungi; Basidiomycota; Agaricomycetes; Boletales; Boletaceae
Description: partial 28S ribosomal RNA
Rfam family: Eukaryotic large subunit ribosomal RNA
Source: RNAcentral